CCUACGGGAGGCAGCAGUGGGGAAUAUUGGACAAUGGGGGCAACCCUGAUCCAGCCAUGCCGCGUGUGUGAAGAAGGCGCUCGGGUUGUAAAGCACUUUCAGUGAGGAAGAACGCCUGGUGGUUAAUACCCAUCAGGAAAGACAUCACUCACAGAAGAAGCACCGGCUAACUCCGUGCCAGCAGCCGCGGUAAUACGGAGGGUGCGAGCGUUAAUCGGAAUUACUGGGCGUAAAGCGCGCGUAGGUGGCUUGAUAAGCCGGUUGUGAAAGCCCCGGGCUCAACCUGGGAACGGCAUCCGGAACUGUCAAGCUAGAGUGCAGGAGAGGAAGGUAGAAUUCCCGGUGUAGCGGUGAAAUGCGUAGAGAUCGGGAGGAAUACCAGUGGCGAAGGCGGCCUUCUGGACUGACACUGACACUGAGGUGCGAAAGCGUGGGUAGCAAACAGGAUUAGAUACCCGAGUAGUC
This 465-nucleotide ribosomal RNA is filed under the name Vreelandella stevensii. RNAcentral's name for it is "partial 16S ribosomal RNA". It matches the Rfam family "Bacterial small subunit ribosomal RNA", at positions 338 to 795 of the family's 1533-position model. The record is from RNAcentral. Lineage: Bacteria; Pseudomonadati; Pseudomonadota; Gammaproteobacteria; Oceanospirillales; Halomonadaceae.